RNAcentral lists this long non-coding RNA (2143 nucleotides) under Salvia miltiorrhiza (redroot sage). Its description in RNAcentral is "long non-coding RNA (SMIL_LNC006048)". Lineage: Eukaryota; Viridiplantae; Streptophyta; Magnoliopsida; Lamiales; Lamiaceae. The record is from RNAcentral.
CUAAUCAUGCUUAAGAAUUCCACGGUCCUUAUUCAUCCAAGCCACCCCAUUCUUCUUUUAUAUCCUACACCAUUUUUCACCCAAAUCCCACCUCUCACAUUCAUCAACCAUCUCUAUCGCAGCCAAGAAACGACAUCACAUCCUUCAUCAUUCAAGGUUUCUAUUCUAAUUGAUAUGUUAUGAUAUCCUUCAAUUUGUAUAUAUCAACUCCAGAACACCAACAGAGAAUCACCAAUACACAUGCACAUGAUUAUUUGAUAUUUCACUAUGUGCUUACAAGAUAUGACAUAUGAACUGAAAUAUUAAAACUGAGUGUUUAAUUUGCAAGGAAAGAAAUUCAGAUUUCAUUAAGAAAUUACAGUUUGAGAAUGAUAUGUGCUAACAAAAACCCUAUGCUAUUUUGUGAACUGAAUAUGAGGCUUGAACCCCUGUUUUGUGUGUGAGUCGAGAGAGGGAGAGGGCAGCCUUGGUGACUCGUCGUCGCCGGCGGUCGACGGACGGCGACGGAGCCGCGGUGGCUUCCGAUCUGCCAAAGAGGGGAAAGGAGACAAGUAUUUCAGUUUUUAAUUUAGAAAAGGGAAAAGAUGAGGGAAGGAAAAAAAGAAGAAAAAGAGAAUAGGGAAUUAGGGCUUACCUUUAAUUCGACGGACGACGGAGGCGGCGGCCCCCUGGCCGUCUGUCCACCGGCGAAGGGGAGGACGACGCGGCAGCGCGGCUUACGCCGUGUCUGCGUGCGCGUGUGUGUGUGAGUCGGUGAGAAAGAGAGAAGGUGAGAACGAGGGAGAUGGCGAGAUGAGCGACGGCGCCGUGGUCUUCAGGCCGCGGCGGAUCUGCCGCGAGAAUGAGGGAGCAGGCGGCGGCCCGGCGAUGGCGGCGCACCGCGGUGGUGGUGUCUGCUGCGCCUGGGUCCAGCGGCCGAGAGAGCGAGAGAGAUAGAGGGGAAGAGAGGGGGAAAGAGUUCAGGGAGAGAGGGAGGGGCCAACGCGGGCCUCCGUCCGGCGGGCACCGCCGUCGGGGCGGCGGCGGCAGAGCACCGAUAUCGAGAGAGAGGGUGCGUCUGAUGCGUGUGUGUGAGUGUGUGAAGUUGUGGCUGAGUGUGUGUGUUUAAAUGUGUUUUAGUGUGUGUUUAUUUAGGGUUAGCAUGAGAAGUGGCUUGGACCUCAAUUUUGUUUUGGGCUGAGAUUUAAUUGUUGAUUGGGCUCGGCCCUUUACAAAUAAAAUGUGAUGGACCUAUUAAUUUAAUUGUUUGGGCCUUAUUCAAAGAAAAAUAUGAUGAACUUAGUUUACCUAAUUAAUUUGGGUUUAUAUCCAUUUAAAUUAUUUAAGCUCUUAAUUAUUAAUUUAAAUUGAGCUUGAUUAAUUCAAUUAUAUAUUAACCUUUAAAUUAAUUAAAUAAAUAGAGUCUUUUAUUUGAUUAUUUAUAAAUGAAUUUUUAAAAUAAAAUAUUUUGAGUUAAACUCUUAUUAAUAUGGAUUAUUUGAAAGGAUUAAAUUGUUUUAAGUAUGAGAAAGCAUGAUCUAUGAUGAUAUAAUUUGUCUAUGUGAUAUUAUAGGAUUUGUUUUUAAAUGACGGAAUAUUUGACUUGAUGGCGUGAGUAGAACGAGUUAUGAUUGAUGCGCAUGUUGAUGUUCUAAUAAAUAGUUUCGAACCUAAAUGUUAGUUAUGUGAUAAAUGUUUUGAGUUUAAGGUUCUGAACGAGACAAGAUUAAUAUGGAUGCUAGAACCCUAAAAUCUUUAAAGGAGAUAGUUUAGUUUAGAGACCUAUCUUCCUUUCUUUCACGACUUCUUCUCGAACACUACAACAAAAACUCUAAUAGAAACCGUUAAAUAGAAACCGGUUUUUGCUAAAAACCGGUUUCGUAGCUCCAAAAACCGGUUUCUUAAAUAUAACCGGUUUCUAUUUCAAAAAAAUGCGCUGAUAGAAACCGGUUUUUUACUACCGGUUUCUAUCAUGUGGUGUUAUAGAUAUAUUAUAAAAUCGGUAUUCGUUUAAAUAUUUUAAACCGGUCUGAAACCGGUUUUAAAACAUAGAGUAUUAAAAAAAAAUUGAAAAAAUGAAAGAGGUGAAAUAAUUACGUAUAGUGUAACAGUGCCCUAAUUCUCCUCCCUCGCUGCACACAACUUCCGCCACCAUUCUCCCCGC